AUAAGUGUCUAAGGGCGCAUGGUGGAUGCCUUGGCAUCGAGAGCCGAUGAAGGACGUGGGAGGCUGCGAUAUGCCUCGGGGAGCUGUCAACCUAGCGUGGAUCCGAGGAUUUCCGAAUGGGGAAACCCAGCACGAGUGAUGUCGUGUUACCCGCACCUGAAUAUAUAGGGUGCGGGGGGGAACGCGGGGAAGUGAAACAUCUCAGUACCCGUAGGAAAAGAAAACAAUUGUGAUUCCGUAAGUAGUGGCGAGCGAACGCGGAAAAUGGCUAAACCGCACGCAUGUUUAACCGGGUAGGGGUUGUGUGUGCGGGGUUGUGGGAAUGAUAUGUCUCAGCUCUACCUGGCUGAGAGGCAGUCAGAAAGUGUCGCAGUUAACGGAAAUGGCCUGGGAUGGUCUGCCGUAGACGGUGAGAGCCCGGUACGUGAAAACCCGGCACCUGCCUAGUAUCAACUCCCGAGUAGCAGCGGGCCCGUGGAAUCUGCUGUGAAUCUGCCGGGACCACCCGGUAAGCCUAAAUACUACUCGAUGACCGAUAGCGGAUUAGUACCGUGAGGGAAUGGUGAAAAGUACCCCGGGAGGGGGAGUGAAAGAGUACCUGAAACCGUGCGCCUACAAUCCGUCAGAGCCUCCUCGUGGGGUGAUGGCGUGCCUUUUGAAGAAUGAGCCUGCGAGUCAGGGACAUGUCGCGAGGUUAACCCGAGUGGGGUAGCCGCAGCGAAAGCGAGUCUGAAUAGGGCGUAUCCCCGUAAGGGGUGUAGUGGCAUGUUCUGGACCCGAAGCGGAGUGAUCUACCCAUGGCCAGGGUGAAGCGCGGGUAAGACCGCGUGGAGGCCCGAACCCACUUAGGUUGAAGACUGAGGGGAUGAGCUGUGGGUAGGGGUGAAAGGCCAAUCAAACUCCGUGAUAGCUGGUUCUCCCCGAAAUGCAUUUAGGUGCAGCGUUGCGUGUUUCACCACGGAGGUAGAGCUACUGGAUGGCCGAUGGGCCCUACUAGGUUACUGACGUCAGCCAAACUCCGAAUGCCGUGGUGUGAAGCGUGGCAGUGAGACGGCGGGGGAUAAGCUCCGUACGUCGAGAGGGAAACAGCCCAGAUCGCCGGCUAAGGCCCCAAAGCGUGUGCUAAGUGGAAAAGGAUGUGCAGUCGCAGAGACAACCAGGAGGUUGGCUUAGAAGCAGCCACCCUUGAAAGAGUGCGUAAUAGCUCACUGGUCAAGUGAUUGUGCGCCGAUAAUGUAGCGGGGCUCAAGCACACCGCCGAAGCCGCGACAACCGCAAGGUUGGGUAGGGGAGCGUCCCUCAUUCAGCGAAGCUGCCGGGUAACCGGUGGUGGAGGAUGGGGGAGUGAGAAUGCAGGCAUGAGUAGCGAUAAGGCAAGUGAGAACCUUGCCCGCCGAAAGACCAAGGGUUCCUGGGCCAGGCCAGUCCGCCCAGGGUGAGUCGGGACCUAAGGCGAGGCCGACAGGCGUAGUCGAUGGACAACGGGUUGAUAUUCCCGUACCCGUGUGUGCGCGCCCGUGAUGAAUCAGCGGUACUAACCACCCAAAACCGGAUCGAUCAUUCCCCUUCGGGGGCGUGGAGUUCCGGGGCUGCGUGGAACCUUCGUUGGUAGUAGUCAAGCGACGGGGUGACGCAGGAAGGCAGCCGUACCAGUCAGUGGUAAUACUGGGGCAAGCCCGUAGGGAGAGCGAUAGGCAAAUCCGUCGCUCAUUAAUCCUGAGAGGUGAUGCAUAGCCGAUUGAGGCGAAUUCGGUCAUCCUCUGCUGCCAAGAAAAGCCUCUAUCGAGCACACACACGGCCCGUACCCCAAACCAACACAGGUGGUCAGGUAGAGAAUACCAAGGCGUACGAGAUAACUAUGGUUAAGGAACUCGGCAAAAUGCCCCCGUAACUUCGGGAGAAGGGGGACCGGAAUACCGUGAACACCCUUGCGGUGGGAGCGGGAUUCGGUCGCAGAAACCAGUGGGGAGCGACUGUUUACUAAAAACACAGGUCCGUGCGAAGUCGCAAGACGAUGUAUACGGACUGACGCCUGCCCGGUGCUGGAAGGUUAAGAGGACCCGUUAACUCGUAAGGGUGAAGCGGAGAAUUUAAGCCCCAGUAAACGGCGGUGGUAACUAUAACCAUCCUAAGGUAGCGAAAUUCCUUGUCGGGUAAGUUCCGACCUGCACGAAUGGCGUAACGACUUCCCAACUGUCUCAACCAUAGACUCGGCGAAAUUGCACUACGAGUAAAGAUGCUCGUUACGCGCGGCAGGACGAAAAGACCCCGGGACCUUCACUACAACUUGGUAUUGGUGUUCGGUUCGGUUUGUGUAGGAUAGGUGGGAGACUGUGAAACUCCAACGCCAGUUGGGGCGGAGUCAUUGUUGAAAUACCACUCUGAUCGUAUUGGACACCUAACGUCGAACCCUGAAUCGGGUUCACGGACAGUGCCUGGCGGGUAGUUUAACUGGGGCGGUUGCCUCCUAAAAUGUAACGGAGGCGCCCAAAGGUUCCCUCAACCUGGACGGCAAUCAGGUGACGAGUGUAAGUGCACAAGGGAGCUUGACUGCGAGACCUACAAGUCAAGCAGGGACGAAAGUCGGGACUAGUGAUCCGGCACCUCUGAGUGGAAGGGGUGUCGCUCAACGGAUAAAAGGUACCCCGGGGAUAACAGGCUGAUCUCCCCAAGAGUCCAUCGACGAUUC
Molecule: ribosomal RNA, 2689 nt
Filed under: Mycobacterium marinum
Lineage: Bacteria; Bacillati; Actinomycetota; Actinomycetes; Mycobacteriales; Mycobacteriaceae
Description: bacterial LSU rRNA
Rfam family: Bacterial large subunit ribosomal RNA
Source: RNAcentral